Molecule: ribosomal RNA, 468 nt
Filed under: uncultured bacterium
Lineage: Bacteria
Description: partial 16S ribosomal RNA
Rfam family: Bacterial small subunit ribosomal RNA
Source: RNAcentral
GACGAACGCUGGCGGCGUGCUUAACACAUGCAAGUCGAACGGAAAGGCCCUGCUUUUGUGGGGUGCUCGAGUGGCGAACGGGUGAGUAACACGUGAGUAACCUGCCCUUGACUUUGGGAUAACUUCAGGAAACUGGGGCUAACACCGGAUAGGAGCUCCUGCUGCAUGGUGGGGGUUGGAAAGUUUCGGCGGUUGGGGAUGGACUCGCGGCUUAUCAGCUUGUUGGUGGGGUAGUGGCUUACCAAGGCUUUGACGGGUAGCCGGCCUGAGAGGGUGACCGGCCACAUUGGGACUGAGAUACGGCCCAGACUCCUACGGGAGGCAGCAGUGGGGAAUAUUGCACAAAGGGCGGAAGCCUGAUGCAGCAACGCCGCGUGCGGGAUGACGGCCUUCGGGUUGUAAACCGCUUUCGCCUGUGACGAAGCGUGAGUGACGGUAAUGGGUAAAGAAGCACCGGCUAACUACGUG